RNAcentral lists this long non-coding RNA (778 nucleotides) under Salvator merianae (Argentine black and white tegu). Its description in RNAcentral is "lncRNA (ENSSMRG00000008234.1)". Lineage: Eukaryota; Metazoa; Chordata; Lepidosauria; Squamata; Teiidae. The record is from RNAcentral.
GGGGGAUCUCUGCAAAUGGACCCUUGUGAGCGUUCUCUCAAGUUAAAUUGGAACUAUGAUGUCAUCUCAAGGUGAAAGAAGCUGUAACGAAGAAGACAAGCGGUUUGAGUUACUGAGGGAGAAGAAGAGCAUGGGAAAAUCUAGGCAACACGAAACGGCGGCGGGGGGCAGGCGGGAAAACGCCAGGCAAAUUGUGUUUACUUUUGAAUGCAUGGACCAGUGCCAGGAGACCUGCGGAUGAUGAUCUUUUUGACACAGUGAUUGGCUGUUCGGGUUUGUUAUGCUUUCAGUAUUUUGAUACAAAUGCAGCUUCUAUAAAUUUGCAUUCCACGCAGAAAUGCAGUCUGGAUGGUUGUUUGCAGAAGGAAGCUAUAUCUUUCUGUCUCAAGCAUUACACCAAUUUGUUGGCAGCAUCAUGUGGCAGUCCCAACACAGCAAGGUUAUAAAGAAGCAGAAGUCCCUAAGUCCUUCACCGCCUCAUGAACCCAGACUGUUGUUAGCAAUGGACACAAGCAUCAAGUUAAGGGCUGGAGGGCUGUUUCCUGUGGUUCCAGUGUUAGGCUUUGACACCAACACACCCACUACAGAGAGCAACAGCACACACAGCCAAGGAAUCACCACCUAAUCAAGCUCAGUAAGACCUUCCUAGUUCAUUUCCUAUUUACAUGGUGACAAGUAGUAUGCAGCACAAACAGAGGACAGAAUGCUAUUUUAUAUAGUGUUGCUUUGUUACCCCUGUUAAACAAUGCAGUAUGAAGGCAAGUUUUCUUUCUUAAAC